GACGAACGCUGGCGGCGUGCUUAACACAUGCAAGUCGAACGGAAAGGCCCUGCUUUUGUGGGGUGCUCGAGUGGCGAACGGGUGAGUAACACGUGAGUAACCUGCCCUUGACUUUGGGAUAACUUCAGGAAACUGGGGCUAAUAUCGGAUAGGAUCUUCUGCUGCAUGUUGGGGGUUGGUAAGUUUCGGCGUUUGGGGCUGGACUCGCGGUUUAUCAGCUUGUUGGUGGGGUAGUGGCAUACCAAGGCUGUGACGGGUAGCCGGCCUGAGAGGGUGACCGGCCACAUUGGGACUGAGAUACGGCCCAGACUCCUACGGGAGGCAGCAGGGGGGAAUAUUGCACAAUGGGCGGAAGCCAGAUGCAGCAACGCCGCGUGCGGGAUGACGGCCUUCGGGUUGUAAACCGCUUUCGCCUGUGACGAAGCGUGAGUGACGGUAAUGGGUAAAGAAGCACCGGCUAACUACGUG
This 468-nucleotide ribosomal RNA is filed under the name uncultured bacterium. RNAcentral's name for it is "partial 16S ribosomal RNA". It matches the Rfam family "Bacterial small subunit ribosomal RNA", at positions 28 to 507 of the family's 1533-position model. The record is from RNAcentral.